Molecule: ribosomal RNA, 232 nt
Filed under: uncultured bacterium
Lineage: Bacteria
Description: partial 16S ribosomal RNA
Rfam family: Bacterial small subunit ribosomal RNA
Source: RNAcentral
GAUCAUGCUCAGGAUGAACGCUAGCGGCAGGCUUAACACAUGCAAGUCGAGGGGCAGCGGGGUGUAGCAAUACACUGCCGGCGACCGGCGCACGGGUGCGUAACGCGUAUGCAACCUACCCAUAACAGGGGCAUAACACUGAGAAAUUGGUACUAAUUCCCCAUAACAUUCGAAGAGGCAUCUCUUUGGGUUGAAAACUCCGGUGGUUAUGGAUGGGCAUGCGUUGUAUUAG